CGUGGGUGGCUGAAAGAUAAACUGUUUUGCUGGUAGUUGUGGUAAUAUAAUGAAAGUUUAGAUGCGAUCACUAUAUAAAUUAAACGAUGAAAAAGCCUGGAAGGAGGAGAGAUGACUAGAAACGAUUCGGUUGGCCGUUUUUUGUCGGAGUAGAGGUCCUUGUGCAUUGUAGGACCUGAGCCCUAGGACCAUGCCCCAGGACUACCUGACAUGAUGACUCCUUGCUGUCCCCAGUCCACCUGGCCGUGCUGCUGCUCCAGUUUCAACUGUUCUGCCUUAUUAUUAUACGACCAUGCUGGUCAUUUAUGAACAUUUGAACAUCUUGGCCAUGUUCUGUUAUAAUCUCCACCCGGCACAGCCAGAAGAGGACUGGCCACCCCACAUAGCCUGGUUCCUCUCUAGGUUUCUUCCUAGGUUUUGGCCUUUCUAGGGAGUUUUUCCUAGCCACCGUGCUUCUACACCUGCAUUGCUUGCUGUUUGGGGUUUUAGGCUGGGUUUCUGUACAGCACUUUGAGAUAUCAGCUGAUGUACGAAGGGCUAUAUAAAUAAAUUUGAUUUGAAUUUGAUUUGAAAUAGUGACAUGAGGAAUAAAUGCCCAGUGAAUAAUGAAUAGAAAUAAAGAGUAAAAACUACAAGGAUAUAUAUAGGGAGGACAAAAUAACAUGGCUAUAUACAGGGAGUACCAGUACCUAGUCGAUGUGCAGGGGUACGUAAAUUGAGGUAGCUAAGUAUUCAGACCCCUUGACUUUUUCCACAUUUUGUUACGUUACAGCCUUAUUCUAAAAUGUAAUAAAUAUUUUUUCCCCCCUCAUCAAUCUACACACAAUACCCCAUGAUGAAAAAGCAAAAACAGUUUUUUAGAUUUGUUUUCUCAUAAAAAAAACAACAACACUGAAAUAUGUAUUCAGUCUCUUUACUCGGUACUUUGUUGAAGCACCUUUGGCAGAGAUUACAGCAUUGAUUCUCCUUGGGUAUGAUGCAACAAGCUUGGCACACCUGUAUUUGGAGAGUUUCUCCCAUUCUUCUCUGCAGGUCCUCUCAAGCUCUGUCAGGUUGUCUGAGGAGCGUCGCUGCACAGCCAUUUUAAGGUCUAUCCAGAGAUGUUUGAUCGGGUUUAAGUCUGGGCUCUGGCUGUGCCACUCAAGGACAUUCAGUGACUUGUCCCGAAGCCAUUCCUGCGUUGUCUUGGUUGUGUGCUGAGGGUCGUUGUGAUGUUGUAAGGUGAACCUUCGACACAUUCUGAGGUCCUGAGUACUCUGGAGCAGGUUUUCAUCAAGGAUCUCUGUACUUUGCUCUGUUCAUAUUUCCCUCAAUCCUGACUAUUCUCCUAGUCCCUGCCGCUGAAAAACAUCUCCACAGCAUGAUGCUGCCACCACCAUGCUUCACCAUAGGGAUGGUGCCAGGUGUCCUCCAGAUGUGACGCUUGGCAUCCAGGCCAAAUAAUUUAAUCUUGGUUUCAUCAGACCAGAGAAUCUUGUUUCUCAUGGUCUGAGAGUCCUUUAGGCGCCUUUUGGCAAACUCCAAGCUGGCUGUCAUGUGCCUUUUACUAUGGAGUAGCUUCCGUCUGGCCACUCUACCAUAAAGGCCUGAUUGGUGGAGUGCUGCAGAGAUGGUUGUCAUUCUGGAAGGUUCUCCCAUCUUCACAGAGGAACUCUGGAGCUCUUUCAGAGAGACCAUCACGGUCUUGGUCACCUCACUGACCAAAGCCCUUCUCCACCCAUUUGCUCAGUUUGGCAGGGCGGCC
This is a long non-coding RNA of Oncorhynchus tshawytscha (Chinook salmon), 1744 nucleotides long. The record is from Ensembl. Lineage: Eukaryota; Metazoa; Chordata; Actinopteri; Salmoniformes; Salmonidae.